Molecule: long non-coding RNA, 1157 nt
Filed under: Nicotiana benthamiana
Lineage: Eukaryota; Viridiplantae; Streptophyta; Magnoliopsida; Solanales; Solanaceae
Description: long non-coding RNA (NBEN_LNC012944)
Source: RNAcentral
GAAAAAGCUCUAAAACUUAAAAAAAGGCUCUGUUUUCUCAAAACCGCAUCAGCUCUCUUCUGCCCUAAUCUCCGCCUGCUAUCUAAUUUAGAGCCUAUCUCGCGUGUUCAUCUGUGUAUUGAGAAAACACAGAUUGUGAAUCUGGUGUUGUGUGCAAAUUCAACUCUGCCCUAGUUUCCAUCUCGCUUGUUUGAGAAUACAAGGUAUGCCCUUUCUUUCAUCGCCCGUUCUGUUUCUUCUCUAACUGUUGUUUUAGUGAAGUUUAGUUAUUUGUUUAAUCCCUAUUGCAGUUUUGCUUUUACAUCUGAAAAGAUUUCAACUAAAUCCAUUUAGCGUUGAGAGUAUCAGAAAAAAUCAUCAUAUUAACUCUGGAAGUAUAAGGUACAAGAGAAUGGUCUCAAGAUGUCGUUCUUCUAAGUAUUUGAUUCAAUAGCUUUUAUGGUGGAUCUGUGCUAAAUUUAUAAUUAUUCGGGAAAUCUUCUUCUCUACUUGAUCACGUUGGUAAUUCUUUGUCUUUCUUGGUGGCUCGGUUGCCUCAACUAGUAAUUGAGAUAUGUAAUCUUGAACAAUGUACUCUAUAUUGAUCUGAACAUGUUAAUAGACGAUGUAUGGAACUCUUGUCCUUGACGGAGUUUCUGCUCUUUAGUCUGGGGAGGGGGAAUCUCCUCCAUCAUUUCUUAGAAGUUCUGAUCUGAUUUUAGCAUAGAUACCUGGUGGAAUUCAAGUUGAUGCUUGUACUAAUGAUUGCAUGUUAUACUGGAAGUAGGAUAGCUUACUUGAUUCUUGCAAAGUUUGUGGUGCGUCUAGAUGGAAAAUAGAUAGACAUAGCGGGGAAACACGGAAUAAAAAAGGUAAGAAGAUAACAUCAAAUACUUUGCACUAUUUUUCAUUAACGCCUAGGCUUCAGAGGUUGUUUAUGUCUACAAAGACAUCUACAGAAACAAGGAAUAAAAAUGUGAGCUAAAGAACAAUGUGAGCUUGAAGAAAAUGAAUUAGAACAAGCACAUAUAUACAUACUGAAGAAUUGUGAUGAAGUCAUACCAUAUCUCAAGUAUGGAGAGUUCCUUCAUAUUGUCUCAUUUUUCAUAUUUCCUUUAGGGUAAUUUUUUUAUAUGACAUUUAUGGUUCACUUCAAAUUUGUAGAGAGUUUGCACAAA